AAGCUGAGUAUCUUGUACUGAAUACAUAGGUGCAAGAGGCGAACCAGGGGAACUGAAACAUCUAAGUACCCUGAGGAAAAGAAAUCAACCGAGAUUCCCUUAGUAGUGGCGAGCGAACGGGGACCAGCCCUUAAGUUGAUUUGAGAUUAGUGGAACGCUCUGGAAAGUGCGGCCAUAGUGGGUGAUAGCCCCGUACACGAAAAUCUCUUAUCAAUGAAAUCGAGUAGGACGGAGCACGAGAAACUUUGUCUGAAUAUGGGGGGACCAUCCUCCAAGGCUAAAUACUACUGACUGACCGAUAGUGAACCAGUACCGUGAGGGAAAGGCGAAAAGAACCCCGGAGAGGGGAGUGAAAUAGAACCUGAAACCGUAUGCGUACAAGCAGUGGGAGCCUACUUUGUUAGGUGACUGCGUACCUUUUGUAUAAUGGGUCAGCGACUUAUAUUCAGUGGCGAGCUUAACCGAAUAGGGGAGGCGUAGCGAAAGCGAGUCUUAAUAGGGCGUUUAGUCGCUGGGUAUAGACCCGAAACCGGGCGAUCUAUCCAUGGGCAGGUUGAAGGUUAGGUAACACUGACUGGAGGACCGAACCGACUACCGUUGAAAAGUUAGCGGAUGACCUGUGGAUCGGAGUGAAAGGCUAAUCAAGCUCGGAGAUAGCUGGUUCUCCUCGAAAGCUAUUUAGGUAGCGCCUCAUGUAUCACUGUAGGGGGUAGAGCACUGUUUCGGCUAGGGGGUCAUCCCGACUUACCAAACCGAUGCAAACUCCGAAUACCUACAAGUGCCGAGCAUGGGAGACACACGGCGGGUGCUAACGUCCGUCGUGAAAAGGGAAACAACCCAGACCGUCAGCUAAGGUCCCAAAGUCAUGGUUAAGUGGGAAACGAUGUGGGAAGGCUUAGACAGCUAGGAGGUUGGCUUAGAAGCAGCCACCCUUUAAAGAAAGCGUAAUAGCUCACUAGUCGAGUCGGCCUGCGCGGAAGAUGUAACGGGGCUCAAACCAUGCACCGAAGCUACGGGUAUCA
RNAcentral lists this ribosomal RNA (1022 nucleotides) under Pseudomonas juntendi. RNAcentral describes it as "partial 23S ribosomal RNA". It matches the Rfam family "Bacterial large subunit ribosomal RNA", at positions 141 to 1211 of the family's 2925-position model. Lineage: Bacteria; Pseudomonadati; Pseudomonadota; Gammaproteobacteria; Pseudomonadales; Pseudomonadaceae. The record is from RNAcentral.